UACAUCUAUCAAGAAACCCAUGUCC
Molecule: non-coding RNA, 25 nt
Filed under: Mus musculus (house mouse)
Lineage: Eukaryota; Metazoa; Chordata; Mammalia; Rodentia; Muridae
Source: RNAcentral